GACGAACGCUGGCGGCGUGCUUAACACAUGCAAGUCGAACGGAAAGGCCCUGCUUGUCGGGUAUUCGCGUGGCGAAAGCGUGAGUAUCACGUGGGAGUACUGUGCCGUACUUUGUGAUAAGCCUGGGAAACUGGGUCUCUUACCCGAUAGGAGAGCUUCUUCGUGUGAUGGUUGGUUGGAUUUUUCGGUGUAGGAUGAGUUCGCGGCCUAUUAGUUUGUUUGUUGGGUAAUGGCCUACCAAGGCGGGGUUGGGCAGGCGGCCUGCGAGGGUGGACGGCCACAUUGGGACUGGGAAACGGGCCAGACCCCUUCGGGGAGCAGCAAUUGGGAAAAAUGCACAAUGGGCGGGAACCUGAAGCAGCGACGCCGGGUGGGGGAUGACGGCCUUCGGGUUGGAAACUCCUUUCGCUAUGGACGAAACUUUUUGUGACGGUAAUGGGAAAAGAAGCACCGGCUAACUACGUG
This 465-nucleotide ribosomal RNA is filed under the name uncultured bacterium. RNAcentral describes it as "partial 16S ribosomal RNA". It matches the Rfam family "Bacterial small subunit ribosomal RNA", at positions 28 to 507 of the family's 1533-position model. The record is from RNAcentral.